UGGGGAAUUUUGCACAAUGGGGGAAACCCUGAUGCAGCGACGCCGCGUGAUUUAGAAGGCCUUCGGGUUGUAAAAAUCUUUUCUAUGGGAAGAAAAUGACAGUACCAUAGGAAUAAGGACCGGCUAAUUACGUGCCAGCAGCCGCGGUAAUACGUAAGGUCCGAGCGUUGUCCGGAAUCAUUGGGCGUAAAGGGUACGUAGGCGGAAAUGCAAGUCAGGUGUAAAAGGCAGUAGCUUAACUACUGUAAGCAUUUGAAACUGCAUAUCUUGAGAAGAGUAGAGGUAAGUGGAAUUUUUAGUGUAGCGGUGAAAUGCGUAGAUAUUAAAAAGAAUACCGGUGGCGAAGGCGACUUACUGGGCUCAUUCUGACGCUGAGGAACGAAAGCGUGGGUAGCAAACAGG
This 402-nucleotide ribosomal RNA is filed under the name Bacteroidota bacterium. RNAcentral describes it as "Bacteroidetes bacterium partial 16S ribosomal RNA". It matches the Rfam family "Bacterial small subunit ribosomal RNA", at positions 355 to 776 of the family's 1533-position model. The record is from RNAcentral. Lineage: Bacteria; Pseudomonadati; Bacteroidota.